This is a long non-coding RNA of Eriocheir sinensis (Chinese mitten crab), 2381 nucleotides long. RefSeq lists it as uncharacterized. The transcript has 3 exons. Lineage: Eukaryota; Metazoa; Arthropoda; Malacostraca; Decapoda; Varunidae. The record is from RefSeq and is a predicted model, not a curated record.
GGAUGAGUGGGGGUUGCGUGUGUCGAGGGGAUAGGAUUAGGUGAGGUUAGGUUAGAUUUUUUUUUUUUUUUUAGUAAACGAGGCAGCUCAAGGGGAGGGAAAAAAAAAAACAAUGAAAAAACAAUGAAAAAAAAUGAAAAAAAGCUCACUAAUCACUGCUGCUAAAAAAUAAUAAUAAUAAAAAAAAAGUUAGGCUAUGAUUAUUUUUUUACAGUGAAGGCGGCCACUCAAGAGAAAUAAAAGAAAAAGAAAAAGAAAACAAUGAAAAAAAGCCCACUAAUCACUGCUCCUAUAUAUAAAAAAGGAUAGGCAAUGAUAAUUUUUUCUUUUUACAGUGGAGGCAGCUCAAGGUGGGGUGGGGGGGGGGGGGGAAGUUAGGUCAGGGUUAGGUUACAAUGAGGUUAGAUUAGAAUUAGGGGAGGUUAUUAGGUUGGCAUUAUGAUAUGUUGGGUUAGGUACAGUAGGAUCGAUCAGGAUUAAGAUUAGGAUAGGAUAGGAUUAGGUUAGACUACAGAAAGGUUAGGUUAUGAGGUUAGCUUUACGGUAUGUUGGGUUAAGUAGACUCGAUUAGGAUUAAGUUAAAAAUAGGAUAGGAUAGGUUAGGAUUAGGUUAGAGUAAGGACAGGUUAGGUUAUGAGGUUAGCAUUAUGGUAGGUUGGGUUAGGUAAAGCAGGUUUGAUUAGGAUUAAGUUAAAAAUAGGAUAGGAUAGGUUAGGAUUAGGUUAGAGUAAGGACAGGUUAGGUUAUGAGGUUAGCUUUACGGUAUGUUGGGUUAGGUAAAGCAGGUUUGAUUAGGAUUAAGUUAAAAUUAGGAUAGGAUAGCUUAGGAUUAGGUUAGAGUAAGGACAGUUUAGGUUAUUAGGUUAGCUUUAUGAUAGGUUGGGUUAAGUAAACUCGAUUAGGAUUAAGUUAAGAAUAGGAUACGAUAGGAUAGGAUUAAGUUAGAAUACGGAAAGGUUACAUUAUUAGGUUAGCUUUAUAUGUUGGGUUAAGUAGACUCGAUUAGGAUUAAGUUAAAAAUAGGAUAGGAUAGCUUAGGAUUAGGUUAGAAUACGGAAAGGUUAGGUUAUGGGAUUAGCUUCAUGAUACGUUGGGUUCGGUAAAGUACGUAGACUCGAUUAGGAUAGAUGGGAUUAAGAUUAGGAUAGACGGGUUAGGAUUAGGUUAGGUUGUCAUAAUAAUAAUAAUAAUAAUAAUAAUAAUAAUAAUAAUAAUACAAACAGAUAAGGAGGCAAAAUGAUGAGUGGAUGAAUAAAUAAACAGAUGAAUGAAUGAAUAUAUGAAUGAAUGAACAGAUAAACAGAUGAAGAACAGAUGAAUGAAUGAAUGAAUGGACGAAAGACAGGCUGCAAAUUACAUGGGGUUAAAAAAUAUAUCUGGGGUGAGGUGAGAAAGUGACGAAGGGGAAAAAAAGUACCAUGGGGAGUAAAAACAAUGAAAAAGAAGAUAGGGAGGAGGAGGGACUGAUGGCUGGCUGCAUGUGAGAAUGGGUUAAAAAUAGGUCUGGGGUGGGGAGAGGAAGUGACGAGGGGAGAGAAAGUACCGUGGGGAGUAAAAACAAUAAAAAAGAAGAUAGGGAGGAGGGACUGAUGGCUGGCUGCAUGUGAGAAUGGGUUAAAAAUAGGUCUGGGGUGGAGAGAGGAGGUGACGAGGGGAGAGAAAGUACCGUGGGGAGUAAAAAUAAUAAAAAAAGAAGAUAGGGAGGAGGGACUGAUAGCUGGCUGCAUGUGAGAAUGGGUUAAAAAUAGGUCUGGGGUGGGGAGAGGAGGUGACGAGGGGAGAGCAAGUACCGUGGGGAGUAAAAACAAUAAAAAAGAAGAUAGGAAGGAGCUGGCUGCACGUGAGAAUGGGUUAAAAAUAGGUCUGGGGUGGAGCGAGGAGGUGACGAGGGGAGAAAAAGUACUGUGGGGAGUAAAAAUAAAAAUAAUAGUGAUCGAUGGUUGGCGGCACGAGGCAGGGGGUUAAGAAUAGCGAAGGGGUGCGAUGAGGAGGGGACGACAGGGAAAGAGGGUGUGUGUGUUGUGGUGAGUUGCAACAAUCAUCAUCGUCACCAAAAGUCUGUCAUCAUUUUCCUGUUUUGUUAAGAUGUUUGCCGUUAGAUGACCUGCCCUAAAACUGUCCCUGUCUGAGAGUUGUAAUGACGGUAAUGGUGAUGAUGAUGAUGAUGAUGAUGGUGACGAUGAUAAUGAUAGUAGGCUGGGUGGAUGAAAGACUGGUUGGUUGUGUUUCAUAAUAGCUCAGGGGAAAGUUAAGGAAAUGAUAAUAAUAAUGAUACUAAUUUGAUUGUGUUUCUUUUUCUUCUUCUUGUGGGAGUAGCAUAGGGUAGGUUUUAUUUUAUUUUAUUUUAUUUUAUUUUAUUAUUUUAUUUUACUUUAUUAUUA